Molecule: ribosomal RNA, 497 nt
Filed under: uncultured bacterium
Lineage: Bacteria
Description: partial 16S ribosomal RNA
Rfam family: Bacterial small subunit ribosomal RNA
Source: RNAcentral
GAUGAACGCUGGUGGCGUGCCUAAUACAUGCAAGUCGAGCGAACAGAUAAGGAGCUUGCUCCUUUGACGUUAGCGGCGGACGGGUGAGUAACACGUGGGUAACCUACCUAUAAGACUGGGAUAACUUCGGGAAACCGGAGCUAAUACCGGAUAACAUUUGGAACCGCAUGGUUCUAAAGUGAAAGAUGGUUUUGCUAUCACUUAUAGAUGGACCCGCGCCGUAUUAGCUAGUUGGUAAGGUAACGGCUUACCAAGGCGACGAUACGUAGCCGACCUGAGAGGGUGAUCGGCCACACUGGAACUGAGACACGGUCCAGACUCCUACGGGAGGCAGCAGUAGGGAAUCUUCCGCAAUGGGCGAAAGCCUGACGGAGCAACGCCGCGUGAGUGAUGAAGGGUUUCGGCUCGUAAAACUCUGUUAUUAGGGAAGAACAAAUGUGUAAGUAACUGUGCACGUCUUGACGGUACCUAAUCAGAAAGCCACGGCUAACUACGUG